GAUCCUGGCUCAGAAUCAACGCUGGCGGCAUGCCUAACACAUGCAAGUCGAGCGAGAAAGGGUAGCAAUACCUGAGUAAAGCGGCGCACGGGUGAGUAACACGUGGAUAACCUGCCUCAAAGUGGGGAAUAACACCGGGAAACCGGUGCUAAUACCGCAUAUUCUGACGAAGUCUGCGGAUUUUGUCAGGAAAGGAGCAAUUCGCUAUGAGAGGGGUCCGCGGCUGAUUAGCUAGUUGGUGAGGUAAUGGCUCACCAAGGCUUCGAUCAGUAGCCGGUCUGAGAGGACGGUCGGCCACACUGGAACUGAGACACGGUCCAGACUCCUACGGGAGGCAGCAG
Molecule: ribosomal RNA, 341 nt
Filed under: uncultured Acidobacteriota bacterium
Lineage: Bacteria; Pseudomonadati; Acidobacteriota
Description: bacterial SSU rRNA
Rfam family: Bacterial small subunit ribosomal RNA
Source: RNAcentral